Falco peregrinus (peregrine falcon) is the source of this 827-nucleotide long non-coding RNA. RefSeq lists it as uncharacterized. The record is from RefSeq and is a predicted model, not a curated record. The transcript is spliced from 5 exons. Lineage: Eukaryota; Metazoa; Chordata; Aves; Falconiformes; Falconidae.
UGGGCCCCAGCGGCCGCCUCCGCAGCCGGGCCCCCACGGGCGAGCAGCCCCCGCCGCGCGGGAGCAACAGCGGCAAAGGCCAAAAGCAAAAAACCCACCCAAAGCCAAAAGCGAGAACCGCUUGUGUCUGGGCGACAAAUGCACACAAAGGGCGCGCUGCAGCCGGGAGGGAAGUUCGAAAGGCCCCGCAGCCAGAAGCGGCGGGUACGCUGCCCGCCCGCCCCCCGUCUCACAGACACCCCCACCCCUUCGGCAUUUGCGGCUCUUGAAAGGUUAAACAGCCCCUCGGAAACCGUGCAACGCCGCCCAGCCUCCGUGAGCGCUGGGUGAAUGGGUGUUAAGCCUGAGCCUCAAAGGGUAAGGAAGGCCAAGUUUCAGCCUGACUCCAAUUGAACACGAGUGCUGCAGCGUUGAGAUGAUGACUGUGAGUAUGAACAAUUGCAAAUGGAUUUCUCCCACCUGUGUCAACAUGGCUGUGGAGUGGCAGCCAGCCUAGAGGUUGCGAAUGUUACCUUCAUCCCUGAUAUUUUUCCCCAAAUGAAGAAAUCAGUAUAUCUAGUAUCUCACACCUGUCUUCUGUGCAGAAAUUUCUGCUGGAAUGGAGAAAGAAAAGUUUGCAUAAGAACUUGUCGCAAAGCCAAAUGCGCUUAAGAGUUGCUGGUCUGGACCCUUUCUUUAAGAUGCCCAUAUGCAGAUACACUCUGCUGCAAAGAGGAGGAUUUGAGAGAAGCUAGACUGAGGUUACUGCACAGUCCAGGAUGGCUACUCAUGCUGAAUGCUGAUUUGUCAUUAUUCCUCUUUUAAAAUCAAGAACAUCAACUUGCAGG